This 469-nucleotide ribosomal RNA is filed under the name uncultured bacterium. Its description in RNAcentral is "partial 16S ribosomal RNA". It matches the Rfam family "Bacterial small subunit ribosomal RNA", at positions 28 to 507 of the family's 1533-position model. The record is from RNAcentral.
GACGAACGCUGGCGGCGUGCUUAACACAUGCAAGUCGAACGGAAAGGCCCUGCUUUUGUGGGGUGCUCGAGUGGCGAACGGGUGAGUAACACGUGAGUAACCUGCCCUUGACUUUGGGAUAACUUCAGGAAACUGGGGCUAAUACCGGAUAGGAGCUCCUGCUGCAUGGUGGGGGUUGGAAAGUUUCGGCGGUUGGGGAUGGACUCGCGGCUUAUCAGCUUGUUGGUGGGGUAGUGGCUUACCAAGGCUUUGACGGGUAGCCGGCCUGAGAGGGUGACCGGCCAUAUUGGGACUGAGAUACGGCCCAGACACCUACGGGAGGCAGCAGUGGGGAAUAUUGCACAAUGGGCGCAAGCCUGAUGCAGCAACGCCGCGUGCGGGAUGACGGCCUUAGGGUUGUAAACCGCUUUCAGCAGGGACGAAGCUUUUUGUGACGGUACCUGCAGAAGAAGCACCGGCUAACUACGUG